This 400-nucleotide ribosomal RNA is filed under the name uncultured bacterium. RNAcentral's name for it is "bacterial SSU rRNA". It matches the Rfam family "Bacterial small subunit ribosomal RNA", at positions 30 to 416 of the family's 1533-position model. The record is from RNAcentral.
AGUGAACGCUGGCGGCAGGCCUAACACAUGCAAGUCGAGCGGCAGCGCGUCCGACCACCCUCGGGUGGUCGGAUGGCGGCGAGCGGCGGACGGGUGAGGAAUGCAUCGGAAUCUGCCUCGUUGUGGGGGAUAACGUAGGGAAACUUACGCUAAUACCGCAUACGACCUACGGGUGAAAGUGGGGGACCUUCGGGCCUCACGCGAUGAGAUGAGCCGAUGCCGGAUUAGCUAGUUGGCGGGGUAAAGGCCCACCAAGGCGACGAUCCGUAGCUGGUCUGAGAGGAUGAUCAGCCACACUGGAACUGAGACACAGUCCAGACUCCUACGGGAGGCAGCAGUGGGGAAUAUUGGACAAUGGGGGCAACCCUGAUCCAGCCAUGCCGCGUGUGUGAAGAAGGCC